Molecule: ribosomal RNA, 460 nt
Filed under: uncultured bacterium
Lineage: Bacteria
Description: partial 16S ribosomal RNA
Rfam family: Bacterial small subunit ribosomal RNA
Source: RNAcentral
CCUACGGGAGGCAGCAGUGAGGAAUAUUGGUCAAUGGACGAGAGUCUGAACCAGCCAAGUAGCGUGAAGGAUGACUGCCCUAUGGGUUGUAAACUUCUUUUAUAUGGGAAUAAAAUGUUCCACGUGUGGGAUUUUGUAUGUACCAUAUGAAUAAGGAUCGGCUAACUCCGUGCCAGCAGCCGCGGUAAUACGGAGGAUCCGAGCGUUAUCCGGAUUUCUUGGGUUUAAAGGGAGCGUAGGUGGAUUGUUAAGUGAGUUGUGAAAGUUUGCGGCGCAACCGUAAAAUGGCAGUUGAAACUGGCAGUCUUGAGUACAGUAGAGGUGGGCGGAAUUCGUGGUGUAGCGGUGAAAUGCUUAGAUAUCACGAAGAAAUCCGAUUGCGAAGGCAGCUCACUGGACUGCAACUGACACUGAGGCUCGAAAGUGUGGGUAUCAAACAGGAUUAGAUACCCCAGUAGUC